GCAGUCGCCGCGGGAAUACGUAGGUGGCAAGCGUUGUCCGGAAUUAUUGGGCGUAAAGGGCUCGCAGGCGGUUUCUUAAGUCUGAUGUGAAAGCCCCCGGCUCAACCGGGGAGGGUCAUUGGAAACUGGGAAACUUGAGUGCAGAAGAGGAGAGUGGAAUUCCACGUGUAGCGGUGAAAUGCGUAGAGAUGUGGAGGAACACCAGUGGCGAAGGCGACUCUCUGGUCUGUAACUGACGCUGAGGAGCGAAAGCGUGGGGAGCGAACAGGAUUAGAUACCCCAGUAGUCCCUGUCUCUUAUAC
RNAcentral lists this ribosomal RNA (302 nucleotides) under uncultured bacterium. RNAcentral's name for it is "partial 16S ribosomal RNA". It matches the Rfam family "Bacterial small subunit ribosomal RNA", at positions 508 to 807 of the family's 1533-position model. The record is from RNAcentral.